CUUCCUCCAGCAUGACACUUUUCUUUGUUUUUUCAUCAGCCUUUUGGAAAAAGGCCCAUAAUCCAUUUGUAAACAGCUUUUUACCAUACAACUACAGACUUAGUGGAUUACUGUAAGUACUAUAAUUGCCUAUAUCAUAUAAUGUGACUUUCCCUCUUUUGUUUCUAUUGUAUGCACUAUCAAAUAGAAUACGCAAUGUUACAAAAUACACCGAAGCGACAAACACAGUGGUUGGAUAAAGUCUGAGGAUGUGGAGUGGCCGGUCUCAACUCGGUCCUGGCUGGCAGCGGUACAGAUGCUGAGUGCCCCUCCCCUCCAGAAACAGCAGGGGAGUUUGCUGUCUGUCUUUCUGCCGGGGCGAACUGCCACAGAGUAACCAGCCAUCCAACACACACACACACACACACACCACACACACACACACACACACACACACACACACACACACACACACACAGAGUGCACCAAGAGUUCAGUGUGCGUUUACCUACAAUUAAGGGGAGUGGAAAUAUUUGGGGGGAAGUAUUCAGUUUAUCCAUCCACUGUUCUUUCGGUAGGAACGAGUUUCGCGUACUUUCUCCGCGCAUCAGGCAAUUAAAGGGGGACCGACGCUGCUGUCCGCAGGUUGGGCAUGUGUUGCAUGUGAGAGAAGACGGAGUGCGCAGAGGGGUGCUGCACAGGCCCGUACUGCUGAUAGAUGUGGGCACUCAAGCGGUGAAGAGAGAUACAUUACGCAAACACUACUCACAUGGGUGAAAUUGUGUCACUGCUCCCCUGAAGAUACCGUGGGGAGGAUAAGCCCCACCACCAGCACUAUCACUGUCAUUCACAAAGAGUGCAAAGACUUUAAACCUGCUGGCUUUCUCACUCUCUUUGCUGAUUGCCCAUCCAUCACACACAGCUCCAUAUCUGUAUUUCUAACCCUGAAGGUGUGAAGGUGCUUCAAUUUGUCAUCUUAGAUAAACAGCGGUCUGUUUAUCAGGGUCUAAUCCUCGCCACUUUAAAGCUACGGGGUGCUUGGAUGCGUGCCACUCUGCCCCGAUUCUCAGUAAUUAAUUCUGAAUUCAAGUUUCCAGAUGACAAAACUGGACAGUGAAAAUAAAAUAAGUGAAAUGAGUUGUACUUUUACAGCUUCCAUUUGGCAGUUUACAUUUUAUCAUGCAAUCCAAAUCUGUGUGCGCAAGCGUGAAUGAAUGUAUGUGCUCAGAUUGUGUAAUUAUAUAAAUUCCUACAUGCUGUAGACAGUAUAUGUCCCAAACGGUGAUUGUAUCUUCUCUUGUCUAUAUGUCCAGUUGCUCAUGUUUGGUUUCAUUAUUUAAGAUAUGUGAAUGUGUGUAUGCCACAUUGGAUCUAUUAAUCUAGGUUGACAGUGUUUAUGUUGUCACAAGACAGGUUGAUGUGUGUUAUCUGACACGGGGGUGGAAGGAUAGUAAUGAGGGAGAUGUAGCAAUAAGGUCGAAGGGGGUAUACAUUCUUUCGAUGCGUUCAUUAAUUUCUUCAUCGGUUGUCUGGUUAAUUAGUAGCUAGAUGGCAAUGUAAUGUGCAGGAAUUCAGGUUUAAAAACAAUGUUAAGCUUGUAGCUUUUUGUGGUUUUGAGAGUUGUUCAGACACUACUUGUUAACUUUUCAUUAACCCUUAGUUCCAGAUUUCAUUCUUAGUUGUCUCCUAAUAAAAAUUACACAGAUACAUAUUAUUAUUUGCAUGGCCUGUGUCCUGUGCUGAUUUUAGUUUCAGCAUCAAUGAAAAGACAUCUGCUGCUCUCUAAACUAUAAACCACAAAUGUAUUAAAAUGGACAACUACUGAAGUUCCCUACUGAAAAUGUCCAGUUUCUUCCCCAAUGAUUUCACCUUGUCACGUGUUCAAUUAGUGCACAUCGCUCAAGUUCUCCUUGCUUAUUAGUAAGAGAAAAGCCGGUGAGUGUUCCCAUGACUGCUCACUUAUACAUUGACAACACUUUGCAUUGAGUGUGAACUAAUGUCUGUGCUAUAGGCCUCUUUAAUGCACUGUGAAGUCCUAGACAGGACAUGGCCCAUUUUUUGUACACCACAUAAAGGAGGAGCUGACAAGGUCAUCAGCCAAUGCUUAAACUAUUGGCAAGUAUCAUUUAGCUAAAGAAUUAAAUUAGUUAUUCAAGUCAAAAGAAGAUGGAAGAGAGAGAGAGAAACUGAGAAAGGCAU
This is a long non-coding RNA of Dicentrarchus labrax (European seabass), 2178 nucleotides long. Lineage: Eukaryota; Metazoa; Chordata; Actinopteri; Moronidae. The record is from Ensembl.